CCUACGGGAGGCAGCAGUGGGGAAUAUUGGACAAUGGGCGCAAGCCUGAUCCAGCAAUGCCGCGUGAGUGAUGAAGGCCUUAGGGUCGUAAAGCUCUUUUACCAGGGAUGAUAAUGACAGUACCUGGAGAAUAAGCUCCGGCUAACUCCGUGCCAGCAGCCGCGGUAAUACGGAGGGAGCUAGCGUUGUUCGGAAUUACUGGGCGUAAAGCGUACGUAGGCGGUUAUUCAAGUCAGAGGUGAAAGCCCGGGGCUCAACCCCGGAACGGCCUUUGAAACUAGGUAGCUAGAAUCUUGGAGAGGUCAGUGGAAUUCCGAGUGUAGAGGUGAAAUUCGUAGAUAUUCGGAAGAACACCAGUGGCGAAGGCGACUGACUGGACAAGUAUUGACGCUGAGGUACGAAAGCGUGGGGAGCAAACAGGAUUAGAUACCCUGGUAGUCCACGCCGUAAACGAUGAUAACUAGCUGUUCGGGCACUUGGUGCUUGAGUGGCGCAGCUACGCAUUAAGUUAUCCGUCCGUCGGGUAGGUACGGUCGCGAAGAAUUAAACUAACAAUAGAAUUAGUACGGCGUGAGACGUGCCGAACGGCGACGACGAGGGAGUAGG
RNAcentral lists this ribosomal RNA (606 nucleotides) under uncultured bacterium. RNAcentral describes it as "bacterial SSU rRNA". The stretch from base 1 to 517 matches the Rfam family "Bacterial small subunit ribosomal RNA", at positions 338 to 873 of the family's 1533-position model. The record is from RNAcentral.